GAUGAACGCUGGCGGCGUGCCUAAUACAUGCCAGUCGAGCGAACAGACGAGGAGCUUGCUCCUCUGACGUUAGCGGCGGACGGGUGAGUAACACGUGGAUAACCUACCUAUAAGACUGGGAUAACUUCGGGAAACCGGAGCUAAUACCGGAUAAUAUAUUGAACCGCAUGGUUCAAUAGUUAAAGACGGUUUUGCUGUCACUUAUAGAUUGAUCCGCGCCGCAUUAGCUAGUUGGUAAGGUAACGGCUUACCAAGGCAACGAUGCGUAGCCGACCUGAGAGGGUGAUCGACCACACUGGAAGUGAGACACGGUCCAGACUCCUACGGGAGGCAGCAGUAGGGAAUCUUCCGCAAUGGGCGAAAGCUUGACGGAGCAACGCCGCGUGAGUGAUGAAGGUCCUCGGAUCGUAAAACUCUGUUAUUAGGGAAGAACAAAUGUGUAAGUAACUAUGCACGUCUUGACGGUACCUAAUCAGAAAGCCACGGCUAACUACGUG
Molecule: ribosomal RNA, 497 nt
Filed under: uncultured bacterium
Lineage: Bacteria
Description: partial 16S ribosomal RNA
Rfam family: Bacterial small subunit ribosomal RNA
Source: RNAcentral